AUUAUCCUUGCGUUUUCUGUUGAAAGCAAAACAUAAAGCAAAUGAUGGAAAUUUCUGACCAACUGAGAAUGAUAUGGAACUUCCAUGGCUCUGAUGGUUGAACCACUUUGGAAUUGUAGUUCCUGGAAGUGCAAGGCCAUAAGAAGACCACUUAGAAGCGAAGUCCAAUUCAGAUGAAGAGCCCAAUUCAGAUCCAAACUCCUGAUAUGAUGAUCCCAUAUUAGAAUAACCACAUACUAAAUUCCGUGGAAGCCCUAUCACAUCUCCAAGCUGCUUGCAAUUAACAAAA
Long non-coding RNA from Quercus robur (English oak), 289 nucleotides. RefSeq lists it as uncharacterized. NCBI's taxonomy places the organism in Eukaryota, Viridiplantae, Streptophyta, Magnoliopsida, Fagales, Fagaceae. The transcript is spliced from 2 exons. The record is from RefSeq and is a predicted model, not a curated record.